RNAcentral lists this transfer RNA (601 nucleotides) under uncultured Bartonella sp. Its description in RNAcentral is "partial 16S-23S ribosomal RNA intergenic spacer". The stretch from base 116 to 189 matches the Rfam family "tRNA". The record is from RNAcentral. Lineage: Bacteria; Pseudomonadati; Pseudomonadota; Alphaproteobacteria; Hyphomicrobiales; Bartonellaceae.
CAAAAGCUUUAAGGAAAGCUCUUUGUUUUUUGAAAUGAUGCUUUUAUGAGAUAGAGCUUUUUUAGAUAAUGCUUUUUUAGAUAAUGCUGGGGAAGGUUUUCCGGUUUAUCUCGGAGGGCUUGUAGCUCAGUUGGUUAGAGCGCGCGCUUGAUAAGCGUGAGGUCGGAGGUUCAAGUCCUCCCAGGCCCACCAAUUUACCUAUCCAUUUGCCUUUAUCCGUUUAUUUGCCGAUUUAUCGGUCUAUUGAAUUUAAGUGUUGGUAGCAGUUUUUAUAAUGAUGAGAAAUCAUGCUUAUAAAAGAACUCCUUAUAAAAGGCUUGUUUUUAAAAUGUGACGCUUAUCCAUUUCGCUUAGGCAAGAGAAACUUCAAGCGGUUCAAAUGCAAAAGGCUUUAAAUUUUGCAAAACACUUUGAAUUUUAAAGUGAUCCAAGUUCGUGAUCUCGAAUUUAAAAGUUUCGAAUGCUUUAUCCUUUUUUGGGGGCCGUAGCUCAGCUGGGAGAGCACCUGCUUUGCAAGCAGGGGGUCGUCGGUUCGAUCCCGUCCGGCUCCACCAUUUAGAUCAUCAUCAUUGUUGUGAGAACACUCUUUAGUGAGAGGUUA